CCUACGGGUGGCAGCAGUGAGGAAUAUUCGUCAAUGGACGAGAGUCUGAACCAGCAACGUAGCGUGAAGGAUGACUGCCCUAUGGGUUGUAAACUUCUUUUAUAUGGGAAUAAAACGUUCCACGUGUGGGAUUUUGUAUGUACCAUAUGAAUAAGGAUAGGCUAACUCCGUGCCAGCAGCCGCGGUAAUACGGAGGAUCCGAGCGUUAUCCGGAUUUAUUGGGUUUAAAGGGAGCGUAGGUGGAUUGUUAAGUCAGUUGUGAAAGUUUGCGGCUCAACCGUAAAAUUGCAGUUGAAACUGGCAGUCUUGAGUACAGUAGAGGUGGGCGGAAUUCGUGGUGUAGCGGUGAAAUGCUUAGAUAUCACGAAGAACUCCGAUGGCGAAGGCAGUUCACUGGACUGCAACUGACACUGAGGCUCGAAAGUGUGGGUAUCAAACAGGAUUAGAUACCCUGGUAGUC
Molecule: ribosomal RNA, 460 nt
Filed under: uncultured bacterium
Lineage: Bacteria
Description: partial 16S ribosomal RNA
Rfam family: Bacterial small subunit ribosomal RNA
Source: RNAcentral